RNAcentral lists this ribosomal RNA (253 nucleotides) under uncultured bacterium. RNAcentral's name for it is "partial 16S ribosomal RNA". It matches the Rfam family "Bacterial small subunit ribosomal RNA", at positions 524 to 776 of the family's 1533-position model. The record is from RNAcentral.
UACGUAGGGUGCAAGCGUUGUCCGGAAUUAUUGGGCGUAAAGAGCUCGUAGGCGGUCUGUCGCGUCGGCUGUGAAAACUCGGGGCUCAACUCCGAGCUUGCAGUCGAUACGGGCAGGCUAGAGUUCGGCAGGGGAGACUGGAAUUCCUGGUGUAGCGGUGAAAUGCGCAGAUAUCAGGAGAAACACCAGUGGCGAAGGCGGCCGGCUGGGGGUGCCCUGACGCUGAGGCGCGAAAGCGUGGGGAGCGAACCGG